CCUACGGGUGGCAGCAGUGAGGAAUAUUGGUCAAUGGACGAGAGCCUGAACCAGCCAAGUAGCGUGAAGGAUGACUGCCCUACGGGUUGUAAACUUCUUUUAUAUGGGAAUAAAAUGUUCCACGUGUGGGAUUUUGUAUGUACCUUAUGAAUAAGGAUCGGCUAACUCCGUGCCAGCAGCCGCGGUAAUACGGAGGAUCCGAGCGUUAUCCGGAUUUAUUGGGUUUAAAGGGAGCGUAGGUGGGUUGUUAAGUCAGUUGUGAAAGUUUGCGGCUCAACCGUAAAAUUGCAGUUGAAACUGGCAGUCUUGAGUACAGUAGAGGUAGGCGGAAUUCGUGGUGUAGCGGUGAAAUGCUUAGAUAUCACGAAGAACUCCGAUUGCGAAGGCAGCUCACUGGACUGCCACUGACACUGAGGCUCGAAAGUGUGGGUAUCAAACAGGAUUAGAUACCCUGGUAGUC
This 460-nucleotide ribosomal RNA is filed under the name uncultured bacterium. RNAcentral describes it as "partial 16S ribosomal RNA". It matches the Rfam family "Bacterial small subunit ribosomal RNA", at positions 338 to 795 of the family's 1533-position model. The record is from RNAcentral.